UACGAAGGGGGCUAGCGUUGCUCGGAAUCACUGGGCGUAAAGCGCACGUAGGCGGCUUUUUAAGUCAGGGGUGAAAUCCUGGAGCUCAACUCCAGAACUGCCUUCGAUACUGGAGAGCUUGAGUCCGGGAGAGGUGAGUGGAACUGCGAGUGUAGAGGUGAAAUUCGUAGAUAUUCGCAAGAACACCAGUGGCGAAGGCGGCUCACUGGCCCGGUACUGACGCUGAGGUGCGAAAGCGUGGGGAGCAAACAGG
Molecule: ribosomal RNA, 253 nt
Filed under: uncultured bacterium
Lineage: Bacteria
Description: partial 16S ribosomal RNA
Rfam family: Bacterial small subunit ribosomal RNA
Source: RNAcentral